RNAcentral lists this transfer RNA (72 nucleotides) under Camelus bactrianus (Bactrian camel). It matches the Rfam family "tRNA". Rfam says of the family: Transfer RNA (tRNA) molecules are approximately 80 nucleotides in length. Their secondary structure includes four short double-helical elements and three loops (D, anti-codon, and T loops). RNAcentral also lists the same sequence under 2 other names. Lineage: Eukaryota; Metazoa; Chordata; Mammalia; Artiodactyla; Camelidae. The record is from Rfam by way of RNAcentral.
GGAGGAAUAGCUCAGUGGUAGAGCUCAUGCUUAGCAUGUACGAGAUCCUGGGUUCAUUCCCCAGUGUCUCCA